Long non-coding RNA from Ruditapes philippinarum (Manila clam), 1809 nucleotides. RefSeq lists it as uncharacterized. The record is from RefSeq and is a predicted model, not a curated record. The transcript is spliced from 2 exons. NCBI's taxonomy places the organism in Eukaryota, Metazoa, Mollusca, Bivalvia, Venerida, Veneridae.
UUUUGAAAAAUAACAAAGGGCAAUUACUCAAAAAUCAUGCAAGGUAGAGUUAUCAUUCUUGUGCACUGCACUCCUCCUCAAUGAGGUCUAUCCACCUAUGAAGUUUCAAGUUGAUAACUCAAAUACUUUUAGAGAUAUGCUCCGGACAAAAAUGUCGGACGGACGGAGACUAUUUCUAUAUCCUCCGCCGAAAUUUUUCGGCGGGGGAUAAUUAAAAGCAAAUAAUAACAAAAAGCGUCACAAAUUAAAAUUUGCAUUCAAAAAUCCUACUAAAGAUAGCAAUAAUAAUAUUUUGCUGUAGAACAUUUUAAUUUGUUAACAAAAUAAUGCAAUAUUCAUGUUUCUUAAAUAGCAAAGAUAUUCUGUUUCAACUGUUUCAAGAAUCAACCACAACAAUAUGGAAACAACCUAACUGUUUAUAGAUUUUAUUUAAAUAAUUCAUUAGAGAUUUAGCUUCAUAGCCUUUAUCAUUUUCUUGUGGAUUUUGUCCAUUAAUGGUUAUAAUUCUGCUCCUUUUUUAUAGUCUGCUAGGAAAUGAUACAUGAGAUUUGUUUUCAGUGGUAAAACAACAACAACAACAACAACAACAAUGGUGUAAAAUUAAUGCUUAUUUUUAUAAUCUUUUAUUAAAAGGGCCUGUUUAAUUGUAUAGUUUAUUGUUAUGGAUAAACUCGUAUUUGUAAGUCCUUAUGUAUGAUGCCUGUAUAUUCUCUGAAUGUUGUCAAAAAAUGGGGACUAUACUCUACAUUUUCUUAUUUCGAAAGUCAAACACACUGGAGAAAGAAUAUUGUAGGAAGAAUUGUUUAAGGAAACGUAAUGUCUUGUAAAAAAUAAGAAUUCUAUAUUUAACAAAAGGUUAUUUAUUCUUAAAUUAUUCUUCAUGUUGAUGAUGUUAUAAAAUAUGUUUAGACUCAGUAUGUUUCACAUUUUUCCAUCAUUAUUCAUAAUUAAGUUAUGACUAUUAAAGCUAAAUUUAAUAAUUUGACCUUGAUCAAAGUCUGGUUCAAAGGUCAAGGACACAUUUAAGUUAAUCGUAAUGUCAGUUGUGUCAUUAGUACUCUUUUGUCUUAAAAUGAAGUAAACCUAUUAAAUCUAUUAACUAAAGCAAAAUGCAAUGAUUACAGGUAGAGGUCAUUUAUUCGUUAAAGUAUGAAUCAAGUCUGUAAAUUAAGUUAUGGCAAUUUCUGAUGAAUUUCAUACAUGGACCUCGAUAAUCAAUUUCAUUUGAAGGACAAGGAUAUAUUUACAGAAUUCAACAUUUUGGUUUUAUCAUAUUCUUAUUUUUAUAACUUUUGAUUUUGAUUUUGGAUCUAUUAUUUGGUCCGAAUUACUCUCCUAAGGAAGCGUAGGUCCGAAUAUAACAAAUCAGGCAAAAUAGAAUAUUGAAAUUACAAAAACAAAAAAUAACAGCCAGAAUUUUUAAAAUAUAACUGUUAAAACCAAUUCUCCUAAAAUGUGUUAAAACUGAAACGCUUAUUUUUCCACCUAGAUGUAUAUAUUUUUUCGGGAUUAUGGUGUUUAAAGCAAUGAAUUAAUUAAAACCAGCAUAUGUCAGAUCUUAUCCUGUUACUUCAGAAUAAAACGUAUUUACUAAGAUCAUCGCAGAAUUAAAAACUCAAUGCAUAAACGACCUAAAACAAAUCAUUUGAAACAUACUUAUUAUUAUGCUUGUAUGAAGUUCGAGAACAAAUAAGAAAUUUUUCAAGUCUACAAUUGUUAAAAAUAAAAUAUUGCAUUAUAUAUGUUUUCUUUGAUGCUUUGAUGUAUUGUCUUAAUAAGCUAUUCUUGUUAAAUAAAGAGUAUUAUUAU